GACGAACCGUCCAAACGUUAUUCGGAAUUACUGGGCUUAAAGGGUGCGUAGGCGGCGCGGAAAGUAGGGUGUGAAAUCCCUCGGCUCAACCGAGGAACUGCGCCCUAAACUACCGUGCUUGAGGGAGAUAGAGGUAAGCGGAACUUAGGGUGGAGCGGUGAAAUGCGUUGAUAUCCUAAGGAACACCGGUGGCGAAAGCGGCUUACUGGAUCUCUUCUGACGCUGAGGCACGAAAGCUAGGGUAGCGAACGGG
This 253-nucleotide ribosomal RNA is filed under the name uncultured bacterium. Its description in RNAcentral is "partial 16S ribosomal RNA". It matches the Rfam family "Bacterial small subunit ribosomal RNA", at positions 524 to 776 of the family's 1533-position model. The record is from RNAcentral.